This 2646-nucleotide long non-coding RNA is filed under the name Podarcis lilfordi (Lilford's wall lizard). The record is from RNAcentral. Lineage: Eukaryota; Metazoa; Chordata; Lepidosauria; Squamata; Lacertidae.
GUAAGUUCCUGCUGUCACUGUCUUUGCAUUAGUAAAUGUGGCUCUCAGGGAUCUGGCUGGAGCAUAGGUUGGAUAGAAUUUUACACACCCCAAAUGCAAAAGCGAGAGUGAAGCAGUUUGUUGGAAAACGCAACACAACUGCAAGAGAUCAAUCUGCCUUGUUUGUUUGCUUUUUAAAAGUUCAUCCUCUUGAAACAUGCUAAUUUAUACUUAAACAAUUGGGGCCUGCAACAAGGUGUUGCAGUAUGUGUUUACUCAACAGAAGUGUUCGUAUUCAGAAUGUCUGCCAGUCAUACACUCCUCCAAAAUGCUAAAUUCUAAUUUUCUGUUUCUCAUUGGCAUGCUGAAUCUCCAUUGGAGGAGGGGAUGUAAAUAUCUGUCUUUUGUUUCUCCUUAGCCCUGUUUGGUCUGCAUUUCAGUCAGCUUCCAUCACCUGCAUUCACUAUUAGAGAAAGUGAUAUGCAGUGCAACUUUGUUUAUCGAUCUGGUACCUUUUUUGCAGGUGCUCUGCUAUUCCACUGCCCAUUUUUAAUUUUUAAUUGUUUGCUGAUCAUGUAUGGGAAGAAAGUAUUUACUAUUACGUAUAUUCAUUAAUAGGGUUUUUACGUAUACUUUAUUUAUAGUUGCUGGAUACUGUUAAGCAUCGCAUAGAUAACUGGGUAUUAUACUGAAAACCUAAUGAAAAAUGUAUUUCUGAUCAGUGGUCAAAUGGUUAGGGUGGGGGAAGCCUCACUCUCUGAAAUCCACCAGUUGUGGUCAACUUGUGGUCCUUCGUAACCCUCUGAAAAAAAGGAGCAAAGAGAUUGUCAAAUAGUAGGGUGGCCAGACUCCUGCUCCCUCGAGCACUGACCCUUCUUUAAAGAGUUGAUAGCAAUCUCUAGCCCUCUGUGGCUCUACAGAUUUGCAGCACACCAGGCUUCCAUCUAUGCUACUGGAGAGUAUGAGUUCCUGCACAGCUGCCUCUGUUGAAGUUGAACUGAAUGGUAAAGCCACUGUCCCUGGGUAUUUAAGUGGUUUAUUUUCUGCAUCCUGUUGUUCUUCCAUGGAGCUGAAAGAUAUAAAAUUGCAUGGUUCUCUCCCUGUCACAAUUCUAUCCACACAACUGCCCUGUGAGGUGAGCUAGGCAUGGUGGCUGACCCAAGGUUACUCAAUGAGUCACUUAGAUGAAUAAACCCCAAAAGUUAUAGACAAGGGAUGCUGGUGGCGCUGUGGUCUAAACCACAGAGCCUAGGGCUUGCUGAUCAGAAGUUCACGGUUCAAAUCCCCGCUACGGUGUGAGCUCCCGUUGCUCGGUCCCAGCUCCUGCCAACCUAGCAGUUUGAAAGCACGUCAAAGUACAAGUAGAUAAAUAGGUACUGCUCCGGCAGGAAGGUAAACGGCGUUUCCUUUUUUAAAUAAUUUUUUAUUAAAUUUUCCAUUAUACAAAUUCGCCAUAUCAAACAGUUUUCACAAAUUUCAACUUUUUGGACUUCCAUCAGCUUCUCUGCCAAUCAUCCAUAUUUUUCCAUUUUUACACAGUUUUUAAAUUUAAUAUUGCAUUCCAAUAUAACCCUUACUGUCCUAUUACUGUUUAACAAUACUCUAACUUUCACAAAGCCUCUUUAAAUCCCACUAGCGUUGUUUGUUCAUCACAUAUACUUUUCAGAUAUUCAGCAAAUUUUCCCCAGUCCUCGAUGAACUUGUGGUCCCGUUAAUAUCUAAUCUUCCCAGUUAGUUUGUCCAGUUCUGCAUAAUCUAUAAGUUUCAUUCUCCAUUCUUCAAGAGUCGGUAGUUCAGGUAAACGGCGUUUCCAUGCGCUGCUCUGGUUCCCCAGAAGCAGCUUAGUCAUCCAGGCCACAUGACCCGGAAGCUGUCUGCGGACAAAUGCCGGCUCCCUCGGCCAGUAAAGUGAGAUGAGUGCUGCAACCCCAGAGUCGUCCGCAACUGGACCUUAUAGUCAGGGGUCCCUUUACCUUUAUAGUGUCAUAAGAACAUACGAAGAAUCUGCUGGAGAAGGCUAAUGCCUCAUCUAGUCCAUCAGCCUGUUCCCACAGUGGCCAAGACAGAUGCUGGUGGUAAACCAGGAAGCAGGUUUCUAGCACAAGAGCAGCUGUGGAGGCAGAGCAUAGCCAUCAUGACUAGUAGCCCUGUGCCCCAAGAAUUUGUCCAAUCCUCUUGGCCAUCGCUUCCUCCCGUGGGAGCGAGUUUCAUGGUUUAACUACGUGCUGCUUGAAGAAGUUUGUCCGUUUGUGACAUGCGCAGUACAAACAAAAUUUGGCCUGCAUUGCAGCGUCAACAACCUCACCAACUUGAAGCUGGACACCUUUUUCCUUUUGCUAUGUUUUCUUCACCAUCAUGUUUUCUUUCAAUAUCCUCCUAUCUUUUCCGUGCAAUUUUAUUGCACCUUCAUGAGACAAGAGCUGUGGUGUCAGCUUCACAACAAAGGUUGAUGUAAAUCUUAGUUUUAAACUUGAGGAUGCUAUUCGGUUUAAAGAGGUAGAAAGAAUGAAGUGAACACUCCUAAUUGCACAAUCUGAACCAUGUCUACUCAGAGUUGAAUUCAAUGAGGCUCACUCCCAGGGUAAGUGAAGUUAGGCUUGCAGCCUUAGUAACUUUUCUCUAAAUUUUUUUUUUUUAAAUGAUGUUUAUUGAGAAUUUUAAAAUUAC